This 373-nucleotide ribosomal RNA is filed under the name uncultured prokaryote. Its description in RNAcentral is "bacterial SSU rRNA". It matches the Rfam family "Bacterial small subunit ribosomal RNA", at positions 524 to 896 of the family's 1533-position model. The record is from RNAcentral.
UACGAAGGGUGCGAGCGUUAAUCGGAAUUACUGGGCGUAAAGCGCGCGUAGGUGGUUUGGUAAGCGAUAUGUGAAAUCCCCGGGCUCAACCUGGGAACUGCAUGUCGAACUGUCAGGCUAGAGUAUGGUAGAGGGGUGUGGAAUUUCCUGUGUAGCGGUGAAAUGCGUAGAUAUAGGAAGGAACAUCAGUGGCGAAGGCGACACCCUGGACCGAUACUGACACUGAGGCGCGAAAGCGUGGGUAGCGAACAGGAUUAGAUACCCUGGUAGUCCACGCCGUAAACGAUGUCAACUAGCCGUUGGGGGGCUUGUCCCUUCAGUGGCGGAGCUAACGCGAUAAGUUGACCGCCUGGGGAGUACGGCCGCAAGGUUA